UACGGGGGGGGCAAGCGUUGUUCGGAAUUACUGGGCGUAAAGGGCUCGUAGGCGGCUCGCUAAGUCAGACGUGAAAGCCCUCGGCUUAACCGGGGAACGGCGUCUGAGACUGGCAAGCUGGAAUCCGGGAGAGGGAUGCGGAAUUCCAGGUGUAGCGGUGAAAUGCGUAGAUAUCUGGAGGAACACCGGUGGCGAAGGCGGCAUCCUGGACCGGUAUUGACGCUGAGGAGCGAAAGCCAGGGGAGCAAACGGG
Molecule: ribosomal RNA, 253 nt
Filed under: uncultured bacterium
Lineage: Bacteria
Description: partial 16S ribosomal RNA
Rfam family: Bacterial small subunit ribosomal RNA
Source: RNAcentral